UUUUUUUUUAUUUCUGUUCCCCACCACCUUCCAUCUUCUCAAAUCGUGAAUGCCAUUUUCCUAAUAAAAGAUUACUUUAAAGGCUGAUGUUCUGCAUAUAUACUCCUAAAUUAUUUUUACUUUUAUUGUUGUAUUCCCUAAUCAGGCAUUGACAUUUGGUUUUUUGUAACUCCAAGGACAAUCAAAUUGCCUCUUUGGUAUGAAUAUAUAUACCCACACUGCUUGGUGCUGGAACAGCAUUCUCCCAACCCAGAAAUAGAGCCCUGAAGGAGGAAAUAGUCACAGGGAAGAGUGUGAGCAAAAGAAUCAAGGAAACGCAUCUUUACAAUCUCCUGAGGACAUUCCCAAGCUCUACCCUUUCUUCCUGGUGGCCAGAUUAUUUUGGCUUUUAUUUUAAGAUGGGAGAGGUCCCAUUGUUCUGGCUAAUGGAUAGACAGUCUAUGCAUAUUUUCCCCUUUAAUGGAAGUAAAAUGAAAAUCAGAAAGCUCUUAUGCCAUUCUUAAGUACAAUUUUUCAGGUAUCCACUUAAAACAUUCACAUGACACCAAAUUACAAGGCAUUUCUUUUUUAUCUCUGGUAAUCAAGCGAAGUUUGUUUGUACUUGAAUGUUUACAAUUUAAAACACUCAAGGAAUAUGAGAGAGCACAAGUAACGUAUGAAUAGGGAAUGGCGCCUAUGAGACUGACAAUGAACAUUCUCUUUGCUUGCUCACAGGAAGCUAUUAGAUUGUUGCUGCUGUGGGUUGAAUUCUGUUCUCUCCUUCUACCCUCCCUGUCAAAUUCAUAUAUUGAAGUCCUAACCCCCAGCUGCUCAGGAUGAAAUCUCAUUUGGAGACAGAGGUAUUUACAGAGGUAAUCAAAUUAAAAUGAGGGGCGGGUGUGAUGGCUCAUGCCUGUAAUCCCAGCUCUUAGGGAGGCAGAGGUGGGAGAAUAGCUUGAGCCCAGGCAGGUCAAAUGAGGUCCUUAGGGAAGACCCUAAUCUAAUAUCACUGAUAUCCUUACAAAAAGGGGAAGUCUGGAAACAGAGAGCUACAGGGAGAAUGCCAUGUGACCAUGAAGAUGGCCAUCUACAAGCCAUAGAGGGAGGCCUGGAACAUAUCCUGCCUUCGCAGCCCUCAGAAAGAACCAGCCCUACUAACACCUUGAUUCCAGACUUCUAGACUGCAGAACUGGAGUCACCUAAGUGGCAAGUGCAGAAAGGAAGAAGUCCUGGAAGAAGGAAGUGGAGUGGACACUUGCUGAAAGAAAUCUUAACUCUAGUAUCUUCCCAGUGCAGUUCCUAUUUUGGGUUUCAACUCCCCCAGAGGAGUCCUUUUAGUGCAGCUCCUGACUGCCCGAUUCCACCGGACUUCUCUCAGUAGACAGACUGAAGGGCAGAUCAAAGGCUAGAGCCUGCGCUCUGCCACGCCCUUGCUUCUGCCCAGAAGGGAGCCUUCUUCUCAUCACCUCUUGAAGAGCCACCUUUGCUCCCAGGAGAGCACACUUAGCUCGUUUGCUGCCAGGCCCUCCACACACUCUGCACUCUUUAGAGCCACCUGCCAGUUCUCUCCCUUCUGAGACCCUAGUAUUUUGUGGUUAGCGCUACGAAACUGUGUCCCUAAGGCUCCUUGCCAGUCGCCACUGAAGACUUCUCAGCCUAAAGAGCCCUUGGCCAAAGUCCCCACCCACCGCCCCUGCCGCGCGCCAUUGAGCCCCCGCGCCGCAGACCUUGAGGUCCUGCUCCAGGCUGCGCAACAGCUCCCCGUCGAUUUCCCCGGUCUGGGCGUAGCGGAGCCUUUUGCGCUCGGCUUUGCGGAGGCGGUACUGCAGGAUCCGGCAGUUUUUGUUGGCUCUCUCCAACUCGUGGCGCAUUUCCUGCAGUUGACAGGCAUCCUCCUCGAAGAAAGUGUCCCUCAUCUCGUCCAUCUCGGUUCUCAGCUCAUCGAUCUCGUUCUGAGGCGGUGACAGGCCGCGUGUCAAAAUCAAACUCGCUUCCAGCCCUUCCGACACACACCGUACACACCCCAUUCCAAUUCCAAAUUCUCAGCUUUAAUUGCCCUCUCUCUCCACGAGACAGGAGUGACAAGGAGCUGAGUACAGAAGAGGAAACUGGGGGAAAAAGGCCCACUUUAGGCCCUCUCUCGUUCUCUUACUCUACCUCUCUCCAGGAAGAAGUGUGACAAACCAUUAUAAUUAGAGAAACGGA
This is a long non-coding RNA of Homo sapiens (human), 2184 nucleotides long. RefSeq lists it as uncharacterized. The record is from RefSeq and is a predicted model, not a curated record. The transcript has 2 exons. Lineage: Eukaryota; Metazoa; Chordata; Mammalia; Primates; Hominidae.